GUUUCUUCGAAAGCAAGGCUUCGCAAUUGGAAGGUUGACUCAUGUACCUGCAGCAAAUACCAAAGAAUAUUACUAACGACUUCUCUUGAAUACUCAAAGAGGAUGUAUGAAUUUUCGAGAUAUAAGAACAAUAGGAGGAACAAUUUAUGCCACGUAUAGAGAUUCAUGCUUCGCCCUUGGACUCUUGCAAGAUGACAGAGAAUUCAUGGAUGCAAUUAAAGAAGCAAGCUCAUGGGCCUCAGAAUCAUAUGUUAGGAGGUUAUUUGUCAUUCUAUUAACAUCCAACAAUAUCUCAAGACCAGAACAUGUCUGGAAUAGAUGUUGGCAUGAACUCUCAGAUGAUAUUUUGUAUUGACAAAGAACCGUGAUGAACAUGAGGGGUGAGUUUUUAUUAAUUGCAAUUAUAAAAGUUCUUCAUUAUUGAUCAUUUUUAGUUUGA
Non-coding RNA from Arachis ipaensis, 439 nucleotides. The record is from RefSeq and is a predicted model, not a curated record. NCBI's taxonomy places the organism in Eukaryota, Viridiplantae, Streptophyta, Magnoliopsida, Fabales, Fabaceae.